RNAcentral lists this ribosomal RNA (1252 nucleotides) under metagenome. RNAcentral's name for it is "bacterial LSU rRNA". It matches the Rfam family "Bacterial large subunit ribosomal RNA", at positions 1634 to 2878 of the family's 2925-position model. The record is from RNAcentral.
AUAUACGACCGUACCGCAAACCGACACUGGUGCGCGAGAUGAGUAUUCUAAGGCGCUUGAGAGAACUCAGGAGAAGGAACUCGGCAAAUUGACACCGUAACUUCGGAAGAAGGUGUGCCCUAUUAGUGUGUAGUGAACAACGAAGCAUGAAUGGGUUGCAAAAAAUCGGUGGCUGCGACUGUUUAUUAAAAACACAGCACUCUGCAAACACGAAAGUGGACGUAUAGGGUGUGACGCCUGCCCGGUGCUGGAAGAUUAAAUGAUGGGGUGCAAGCUCUUGAUUGAAGUCCCAGUAAACGGCGGCCGUAACUAUAACGGUCCUAAGGUAGCGAAAUUCCUUGUCGGGUAAGUUCCGACCUGCACGAAUGGCGUAACGAUGGCCACACUGUCUCCUCCUGAGACUCAGCGAAGUUGAAAUGUUUGUGAUGAUGCAAUCUCCCCGCGGAAAGACGGAAAGACCCCAUGAACCUUUACUGUAGCUUUGUAUUGGACUUUGAACAGAUCUGUGUAGGAUAGGUGGGAGGCUUUGAAGCAGGGUCGCUAGAUCUUGUGGAGCCAACGUUGAAAUACCACCCUGGUGUGUUUGAGGUUCUAACCUAGGUCCAUUAUCUGGAUCGGGGACAGUGCAUGGUAGGCAGUUUGACUGGGGCGGUCUCCUCCCAAAGCGUAACGGAGGAGUUCGAAGGUACGCUAGUUACGGUCGGACAUCGUGACGAUAGUGCAAUGGCAUAAGCGUGCUUAACUGCGAGACUGACAAGUCGAGCAGAUGCGAAAGCAGGACAUAGUGAUCCGGUGGUUCUGUAUGGAAGGGCCAUCGCUCAACGGAUAAAAGGUACUCUGGGGAUAACAGGCUGAUACCGCCCAAGAGUUCAUAUCGACGGCGGUGUUUGGCACCUCGAUGUCGGCUCAUCUCAUCCUGGGGCUGUAGCCGGUCCCAAGGGUAUGGCUGUUCGCCAUUUAAAGAGGUACGUGAGCUGGGUUUAAAACGUCGUGAGACAGUUUGGUCCCUAUCUUCCGUGGGCGCUGCAGAUUUGAGGAAGCCUGCUCCUAGUACGAGAGGACCGGAGUGGACACACCUCUGGUGUAUCGGUUGUCACGCCAGUGGCAUUGCCGAGUAGCUAAGUGUGGAAGAGAUAACCGCUGAAAGCAUCUAAGCGGGAAACUCGUUUCAAGAUGAGAUCUGCCGGGGCCUUGAGCCCCCUAAAGAGUCGUUCAAGACCAGGACGUUGAUAGGUCAGGUGUGGAAGCGUAA